Molecule: transfer RNA, 71 nt
Filed under: Raiamas guttatus (Burmese trout)
Lineage: Eukaryota; Metazoa; Chordata; Actinopteri; Cypriniformes; Danionidae
Description: tRNA-Tyr
Rfam family: tRNA
About the family: Transfer RNA (tRNA) molecules are approximately 80 nucleotides in length. Their secondary structure includes four short double-helical elements and three loops (D, anti-codon, and T loops).
Source: RNAcentral
GGUAAGGUGGCCGAGUGCUUAGGCGGCGGAUUGUAGCUCCGAGAAUAGAGGUUUGAAUCCUCUCCGUACCA